This is a small nucleolar RNA of Trichomycterus rosablanca, 213 nucleotides long. RefSeq annotates it as small nucleolar RNA SNORD17. The transcript has a single exon. The record is from RefSeq and is a predicted model, not a curated record. NCBI's taxonomy places the organism in Eukaryota, Metazoa, Chordata, Actinopteri, Siluriformes, Trichomycteridae.
GUGUAAAUGAUGAAUAAGUUUAUCCAUUCUCUGAGUGUGGCCAACACGGUCUCUCUGCAGCCUCUGUAGGCCGUUUUGGCUUGUGGAGGUUUUUGGCUACCUGUUCAUUCUUUGCUCUUCCAGUGUUCUGCUGGUUCAGUAUCUGAAGGUUCAGGCAGCUAGUGCUAGAGACCAAAGUGGCUCAAACUAAGAAGAGCGGACAUAUCUGAUCAC